RNAcentral lists this long non-coding RNA (1025 nucleotides) under Helianthus annuus (common sunflower). Lineage: Eukaryota; Viridiplantae; Streptophyta; Magnoliopsida; Asterales; Asteraceae. The record is from RNAcentral.
CCAAAUCGUUCCGCCUGCCUCCCCCAAACCCCACGAAGCCACCACCACUAGAACAAUCUGCAGUUAACCAGCCACCACCACCCUCCGGAUACAGCUCGCCAACACCAGAACCUGCACUCACCUCCUCGGUGCUCCACAGCCGCUGCUGCACCUACAGGUGUGGAUUGUGUGCAAUUGUAGGUAUACGGUGGUUGGCUUGAGGUAUCACCGUCAAAUAUUUGGUGGAGGCUGAAGUGGCAGUCGAGUGAGAGGAGGGAUUACGUCGCUUAACCUGGUUACAUGGCUUGACACUUGAGCUUUAAUGGUUGACAUGGAUCUGCUAUCUCAGAUAGUAGAACCUAAGUUAAUUGGAUUAAAGUUUGCAGCCAACGUGGGGGAGUGAUGGUGAGAUCCGCCGUUUAUGAAAGUGGGUUUGUUCCGAAUUUAUCAAAUGCGAGAGGAUUUGGUGAUUUGCUAGGAAGUCAAAUGCGAGACAUAUGAAAAGAUCUUUCCUUUCAAGAACAUUUGUGCUAGCAGAAAGGUAAUCUAUAUCAGGGUACACUCAACGGAAGAUGGGGCAUGGCUGGGUCUGAAUGAAGAGAGGCCAGAAACUACCAUCUUCCGACAAGUUAAGCCGCGGCAGGUGCUUUUCGAUACAUAACAGUUAUAGGUUUCGCUUGAGGACACGGUUCGAGACGAUUAGCUUGUGGAUAUGGAAGCUUUGCAACCUGUCAAAAAGAGGAAGUCCCCUAACAGUUUAUCUGUCCUUGGGGCAAGAGGAAGUCCCCUAGCAGUUUAUUUGCCCUUGGGGAAAGAGGAGAAGAAAAAUUCCUUUAUCCCCUACUUUGUGUUUAGGAUUUAAGAUUGAUUUCAGGUUAAAUGGAUGAACGAUGACCUCUUGGAUGUUGCAUGAAGCUACUCGGCAUUGAAGUUGGCAUUUCUAGUUGAAGACGAUGUUUUAAAUAAAUAAAUUUCAAACAUUUAAAUUGUGUAUUUUAGUUUGGAUAUUUUCCAUGAUUGGGAAUUUAACUUAAAAGUUUUCCGCU